RNAcentral lists this ribosomal RNA (231 nucleotides) under Gentiana sedifolia. Lineage: Eukaryota; Viridiplantae; Streptophyta; Magnoliopsida; Gentianales; Gentianaceae. The record is from RNAcentral.
UCGAAUCCUGCUAAGCAGACGACCCGAGAACAUGUUUAUCGCACGGGCAUCGGGGCGAGGGAAACCGCGGACCGAUGCCCCGAGCAUGACGUCGUACCACCGGUCGAUCGUCGUGCAAACAACCAACCCCGGGCGCAGAAACGUGCCAAGGAAAACGUAAAAAGGACUGUCUGCCUCCCGUCGUGCCGUAUGCGGUGUCGCACGGGAGGACCACGGACGUCUAAAGAAAUA